Molecule: ribosomal RNA, 474 nt
Filed under: uncultured Methanomicrobiales archaeon
Lineage: Archaea; Methanobacteriati; Methanobacteriota; Methanomicrobia; Methanomicrobiales
Description: bacterial SSU rRNA
Rfam family: Archaeal small subunit ribosomal RNA
Source: RNAcentral
UUGACGGGGAGCACCACAACAGGUGGAGCCUGCGGUUUAAUCGGACUCAACGCCGGGAAACUCACCAGAUAAGACAGCUGAACGAUAGUCGGGCUGAAGACUCUACUUGACUAGCUGAGAGGAGGUGCAUGGCCGUCGUCAGUUCGUACUGUGAAGCAUCCUGUUAAGUCAGGCAACGAGCGAGACCCACGCCAACAGUUGCCAGCUCGUCCUCCGGGAUGGUGGGGGACACUGUUGGGACCGCCUCUGCUAAAGAGGAGGAAGGAAUGGGCAACGGUAGGUCAGCAUGCCCCGAAUUAUCUGGGCUACACGCGGGCUACAAUGGGUGGGACAAUGGGUAUCGACACCGAAAGGUGAAGGCAAUCUCCUAAACCCAUCCGUAGUUCGGAUUGUGGGCUGCAACUCGCCCACAUGAAGCUGGAAUCUGUAGUAAUCGUGUCUCAAAAUGGCACGGUGAAUAUGUCCCUGCUCCUU